AUUUCCGACAGCAAGCUGCCCGACAUGCAGGCGGGAUGGGAGCAGGGGAUUACCAACUCUCUCGCCGGCCUUGCGGGUCUGAACAUGUGCUACGAGGCGG
Molecule: non-coding RNA, 100 nt
Organism: Rhodobacterales bacterium
Lineage: Bacteria; Pseudomonadati; Pseudomonadota; Alphaproteobacteria; Rhodobacterales
Source: Rfam